Molecule: unclassified non-coding RNA, 22 nt
Filed under: Mus musculus (house mouse)
Lineage: Eukaryota; Metazoa; Chordata; Mammalia; Rodentia; Muridae
Description: oocyte_clustered_small_RNA11593
Source: RNAcentral
UCUCUUAUAGAACCAAGACGAC